UCGCCCUUAGAGUUGGAUCCUGGCUCAGGAUGAACGCUAGCGACAGGCCUAACACAUGCAAGUCGAGGGGCAUCAAGGAGUAGCAAUACUCUGCUGGCGACCGGCGCACGGGUGAGUAUCGCGUAUGCAACCUGCCUACCACAGGGGGAUAGCCCUAAGAAAUUGGGAUUAAUACCGCAUAAAACAGGGGCUUCGCAUGGAGCUAUUAGUUAAAGAGUUAUCGGUGGUAGAUGGGCAUGCGUUCCAUUAGUUAGUUGGCAGGGUAACGGCCUACCAAGGCAGCGAUGGAUAGGGGCACUGAGAGGUUUGUCCCCCACACUGGGACUGAGACACGGCCCAGACUCCUACGGGAGGCAGCAGUGAGGAAUAUUGGUCAAUGGGCGAGAGCCUGAACCAGCCAAGUCGCGUGAAGGAUGAAGGGUCUAUGGCUUGUAAACUUCUUUUGUCAGGGGGUAAAUUGCGGGACGUGUCCUGUAUUGCAAGUACCUGACGAAUAAGCAUCGGCUAACUCCGUGCCAGCAGCCGCGGUAAUACGGAGGAUGCGAGCGUUAUCCGGAUUUAUUGGGUUUAAAGGGUGCGUAGGCGGGGAUUUAAGUCAGCGGUGAAAACUACAGGCUCAACCUGUAGACUGCCGUUGAAACUGGGUUUCUUGAGAAUGGAUGGAGCAGGCGGAAUUAGUGGUGUAGCGGUGAAAUGCAUAGAUAUCACUAAGAACUCCGAUAGCGCAGGCAGCUUGCUAAGGCAUAUCUGACGCUGAUGCACGAAAGUGUGGGUAUCAAACAGGAUUAGAUACCCUGGUAGUCCACACAGUAAACGAUGAUUACUAGUUGUUUGCGAUAUACAGUAAGUAACUAAGCGAAAGCGAUAAGUAAUCCACCUGGGGAGUACG
Molecule: ribosomal RNA, 889 nt
Filed under: uncultured bacterium
Lineage: Bacteria
Description: bacterial SSU rRNA
Rfam family: Bacterial small subunit ribosomal RNA
Source: RNAcentral